CUCCCUAUGAUAAUUAGCCAUCUGUCUAUAGCUCUUCAGAGAAAGGCUGUGGGAAAGGGACACCCCAGGAAUGGAUGACAAAUUAAUGUGCUACUUAUCCUCGCCAACUCUUCCAGCUGGCUUAAUUCUCAUCAGCCACUAUAAUUUAUUAACAGUGAGGUGAUGCAGACUGAAGCUGACCACUCAUUGCCAGCUACUAAAGGUUUGAGAUCAUAAUGGAUAUAGUCAUCUCCAAAGCAUAAGAAACAGCAGAGUCGGAAAAGGUGUGUACUGAUAAAUGUUAAGCAACCUCCGAGGAAAAAAAAUGUACAUGUGACACACAUACAUCAUAUACAUGUGUCAU
This is a non-coding RNA of Phascolarctos cinereus (koala), 343 nucleotides long. The record is from RefSeq and is a predicted model, not a curated record. Lineage: Eukaryota; Metazoa; Chordata; Mammalia; Diprotodontia; Phascolarctidae.